GAUCCUGGCUCAGGAUGAACGCUGGCGGCGUGCCUAACACAUGCAAGUCGAGCGAGAAAUCAUAAAAUGAAACUUCGGUAGAUUUUUAAGAUGGAAAGCGGCGGACGGGUGAGUAACGCGUAGGCAACCUACCUUAUGCAGAGGGAUAGCCAUUGGAAACGAUGAUUAAAACCUCAUAACGCCGGAGAGUCACAUGGUUUUCCGGCCAAAGAUUUAUCGGCAUAAGAUGGGCCUGCGUCUGAUUAG
RNAcentral lists this ribosomal RNA (246 nucleotides) under uncultured bacterium. Its description in RNAcentral is "partial 16S ribosomal RNA". It matches the Rfam family "Bacterial small subunit ribosomal RNA", at positions 15 to 244 of the family's 1533-position model. The record is from RNAcentral.